GCAAACACGUUGAUGCUUAUUGUUAUCAGACUUUGAAGAUUGACGGACUUGUAAAGAGCAGAGAACUUGGCUGUAUGAGCCGACGUCAAAAGCAACAUGUCCGCUUUGCUGGCUAGUUAGAACACAGGCUAUAAGGACUCGGCAGGCAGCAAAAGACGCUAGCAGCUUCAUUGGCUCGAGCAGUACGAGCAUGGCCACGGCGACCAGGGAAGGACAGUGUUUGCGACAUGUUGGCAGACUACGCCGCACCUGGAUGGCAGCUGCAGAUCGGUAUGAUGUAGGGCACGUUAGGGAAACAGAUAGCAUACAUGGCUUGUGACAGAUGAAAUAGGGACGAAAAAUACACGAUGGAGAUGCUCACCAAUGGUCAGCCGCAGAUGGCAUUGAGGCCUGCUCAACUAGAAGGGAAGCACUUCAGCGAUGCAUCAACCUGCGAGUCUCAGAAAGACGUCGACAAUGGUUGAUCCAUUAUGGUUGGUCAUCUAAAGUUGAACCUUCAUGCAAAGCCCACGGCCGGUGUUGUCUUCUUGCCGGUGGAUUUGCACGCGAACCAGAGAUGGCGGCUUAUAGCAGAGGCGAUGAUCUGAUGUCCCUAGUGGUGGCGAUUGCUUC
RNAcentral lists this long non-coding RNA (612 nucleotides) under Sorghum bicolor (sorghum). Its description in RNAcentral is "long non-coding RNA (SBIC_LNC012109)". The record is from RNAcentral. Lineage: Eukaryota; Viridiplantae; Streptophyta; Magnoliopsida; Poales; Poaceae.